Molecule: unclassified non-coding RNA, 330 nt
Filed under: soil metagenome
Description: partial contains 5.8S ribosomal RNA, internal transcribed spacer 2, and large subunit ribosomal RNA
Rfam family: 5.8S ribosomal RNA (bases 2-121)
Source: RNAcentral
GGAUGAAGAACGUAGCGAAAUGCGAUAAGUAGUGUGAAUUGCAGAAUUCAGUGAAUCAUCGAAUCUUUGAACGCACAUUGCGCCCCUUGGUAUCCCGAGGGGCAUGCCUGUUCGAGCGUCAUUUCACCACUCAAGCCUGGCUUGGUGUUGGGCGACGUCCCCUUUAGGGACGCGCCUCGAAACGCUCGGCGGCGUGGCACCGGCUUUAAGCGUAGCAGAAUCUUUCGCUUUGGAAGUCGGGGCCCCGCCUGCCGGAAUACCUACUCGUAAGGUUGACCUCGGAUCAGGCAGGGAUACCCGCUGAACUUAAGCAUAUCAAUAAGCGGAGGA